Molecule: ribosomal RNA, 490 nt
Filed under: uncultured bacterium
Lineage: Bacteria
Description: partial 16S ribosomal RNA
Rfam family: Bacterial small subunit ribosomal RNA
Source: RNAcentral
AUUGAACGCUGGCGGCAGGCCUAACACAUGCAAGUCGAAUGGUAACAGGAAACAGCUUGCUGUUUCGCUGACGAGUGGCGGACGGGUGAGUAAUGUCUGGGAAACUGCCUGAUGGAGGGGGAUAACUACUGGAAACGGUAGCUAAUACCGCAUAACGUCGCAAGACCAAAGAGGGGGACCUUCGGGCCUCUUUCCAUCAGAUGUUCCCAGAUGGGAUUAGCUAGUAGGUGGGGUAACGGCUCACCUAGGCGACGAUCCCUAGCUGGUCUGAGAGGAUGACCAGCCACACUGGAACUGAGACACGGUCCAGACUCCUACGGGAGGCAGCAGUGGGGAAUAUUGCACAAUGGGCGCAAGCCUGAUGCAGCCAUGCCGCGUGUAUGAAGAAGGCCUUCGGGUUGUAAAGUACUUUCAGCGGGGAGGAAGGGAGUAAAGUUAAUACCUUUGCUCAUUGACGUUACCCGCAGAAGAAGCACCGGCUAACUCCGUG